AUUGAACGCUGGCGGCAGGCCUAACACAUGCAAGUCGAGCGGAUGAAGGGAGCUUGCUCCUGGAUUCAGCGGCGGACGGGUGAGUAAUGCCUAGGAAUCUGCCUGGUAGUGGGGGAUAACGUCCGGAAACGGGCGCUAAUACCGCAUACGUCCUGAGGGAGAAAGUGGGGGAUCUUCGGACCUCACGCUAUCAGAUGAGCCUAGGUCGGAUUAGCUAGUUGGUGGGGUAAAGGCCUACCAAGGCGACGAUCCGUAACUGGUCUUAGAGGAUGAUCAGUCACACUGGAACUGAGACACGGUCCAGACUCCUACGGGAGGCAGCAGUGGGGAAUAUUGGACCAUGGGCGAAAGCCUGAUCCAGCCAUGCCGCGUGUGUGAAGAAGGUCUUCGGAUUGUAAAGCACUUUAAGUUGGGAGGAAGGGCAGUAAGUUAAUACCUUGCUGUUUUGACGUUACCAACAGAAUAAGCACCGGCUAACUUCGUG
RNAcentral lists this ribosomal RNA (484 nucleotides) under uncultured bacterium. Its description in RNAcentral is "partial 16S ribosomal RNA". It matches the Rfam family "Bacterial small subunit ribosomal RNA", at positions 30 to 507 of the family's 1533-position model. The record is from RNAcentral.